Salmo salar (Atlantic salmon) is the source of this 3871-nucleotide non-coding RNA. Lineage: Eukaryota; Metazoa; Chordata; Actinopteri; Salmoniformes; Salmonidae. The record is from RefSeq and is a predicted model, not a curated record.
UCCACUACCAGGAUAUCCACUGGUUCUGUACAGCUCACUAUGUGUUGGCCUGCAUGCAGUUGCUGUGGUUAUGGGUACUGUAUAUAUACAUACUAUCACCUGGCAGACAGAGGGGAAAACUGGGUUUUAUAUAAACCGUUGAUUGUUGGAUGUAAAAUGGUGAUCAAUGACAUUACAAAUAAGGAUAACUGGAUAACUGUCACUACUUAACCAGACAUGCAGAGUGAGCAGUAGAGAGCUGUCUGUCUGUCUGUCUGUCUGUCUGUCUGUCUGUCUGUCUGUCUGUCUGUCUGUCUGUCUGUCUGUCUGUCUGUCUGUCUGUCUGUCUGUCUGUCUGUCUGUCUGUCUGUCUGUCUGUCUGUCUGUCUGUCUGUCUGUCUGUCUGUCUACAAACACAGAAAGAACAAACUGUCCUUUUUAGCCAGAGAGAGAAAGAGAGAGAGACCCACCCCUUGCAUAACUCUCUGUCUCUCUGUGGUGCUGUUUGCAUGGUUGGACCCACCCCUUAUAACCAGGCAAUUCACCAAGCUGGUUCUGCUGAACAAGAUGUUCUGGAAACAGAGAGAGGUUUGACUCUGGGCUCUCUGCUUUGUCAGUCUUCACUGUUAAUAUUCACCAAGAUGUUCUGGAAACAGAGAGAGGUUUGACUCUAGGCUCUCUGCUUUGUCAGUCUUCACUGUUAAUAUUCACCAAGAUGUUCUGGAAACAGAGAGAGGUUUGACUCUAGGCUCUCUGCUCCGUCUUUGUUGUUCUAUGUUAACAGUUCAAUGACACCGAAGACCGUUCAUGUUGGAAUGUCACACAUCAACAACACACACGACUAGCCGGGCGUUGAUUUCCUGGUGUGUGUGUGUGUGUGUUGUUUUUCCCAGGUGUCCCGGUGGUUGUGUCUGAGGUGGCACAGGAAGCAGCGGCCUUGGUGUUGGCAGGAGUGGCACAGGAAGCAGAGAAAGACAAGAAACAGAACUAAGAAGAGAGAUCAAACCGAGGAGGCUGAUGUGGCCAGGGAAACACAACCUCCUUGGAUAAAACCUCAGUUUUUAACAUUCCAGAGAAGAUCUGUUAGACAGGAUGCACGACCCAAAGACCGUGAAGUUAAAAAGGCUACUGGAAAACACACACACUCAUCUGCCACGACGAUGAUAGACCAGUUCAAUACAUAUUACUGUCCAGGGUGUGUCCAAAAUGGCACCUAAUUCCCUGAUUUUUAGGGGAUAGGGUGUAAUUUCAGACGUAGCCUAAGUCUUGUCACCAAAGUGCCUUCUCAUCCUAGAAAUAUAGAUGGAUCACCUUUUCUUCCUCUAUUGGCAAUAACUACCAUGUAACCUGGAGCCACCUGGGCUUCCAACCGAACUCUCUGACUCCCAAUUACCUGGAGCCACCUGGGCUUCCAGCUGAACUCUCUGACUCCUAAUUACCUGGAGCCACCUGGGCUUCCAACCGAACUCUCUGACUCCCAAUAACCUGGAGCCACCUGGGCUUCCAACCGAACUCUGACUCCCAAUAACCUGGAGCCACCUGGGCUUCCAACCGAACUCUCUGACACCUAAUAACCUGGAGCCACCUGGGCUUCCAGCUGAACUCUCUGACUCCUAAUAACCUGGAACAACCUGGGCUUCCAACUGAACGUUUACUCCCAAUAACCUGGAGCCACCUGGGCUUCCAGCUGAACUCUCUGACUCCUAAUUACUUGGAGCCACCUGGGCUUCCAGCUGAACUCUCUGACUCCUAAUUACUUGGAGCCACCUGGGCUUCCAGCUGAACUCUCUGACUCCUAAUUACCUGGAGCCACCUGGGCUUCCAGCUGAACUCUCUGACUCCCAAUAACCUGGAGCCACCUGGGCUUCCAGCCGAACUCUCUGACUCCCAAUUACCUGGAGCCACCUGGGCUUCCACCUGAACGUUUACUCCCAAUUACCUGGAGCCACCUGGGCUUCCAGCUGAACUCUCUGACUCCCAAUUACCUGGAGCCACCUGGGCUUCCACCUGAACUCUCUGACUCCUAAUUACCUGGAGCCACCUGGGAUUCCAGCUGAACUCUCUGACUCCCAAUUACCUGGAGCCACCUGGGCUUCCAACUGAACUCUCUGACUCCUAAUUACCUGGAGCCACCUGGGCUUCCAGCUGAACUCUCUGACUCCUAAUUACCUGGAGCCACCUGGGCUUCCAGCUGAACUCUCUGACUCACAAUUACCUGGAGCCACCUGGGCUUCCAGCUGAACUCUCUGACUCUCUCUAACAGACGGCUGUGGUGAAGCCAAACGAUGCUCUACAUUAGCAACAACUGUGAAGUUGAGGUUCAGACGCAGUCAGACUACACUGUCACUUUAAGGUUGUCAAUACGGAGUCGAUGUUGUGUUGAACAGCUUCUCGGUGGGAGAAUGUUCCAUAAUAAAUUACUACUUGACUUUUUACUAGCUGCUCUGAAAGAGGAAGACGAGCCAAACAAUCUAACAACUGAUCUUCUGGACUAGACUGAACCCUGCUAAUGUGGAAGUCAUUCAUGAAUGAGUGAUUACUUCAAUGCGGUUAUUUUAACAGGUAGAUCUGUAAUACUAAGCGGUUAACAGUAGACCUGGAGUGUACAGUGUAAUGUUGAGAAGAGACUUUACACUGAGUGGACAAACAUUAAAAACACCUUCCUAAUAUUGAGUUGAAUCCCAUUUUCCCCCUCAGAACAGCCUCAAUUCAUCAGGACAUGGACUCUACCAGGUGUAGAAAGCGUUCCACAGGGAUGCUGGUCCAUGUUGACUCCAAUGCUUCCCCACAGUUGUCAAGUUGGCCGGAUGUCCUUUGGGUGGUGGAACAUUCUUGAUUCACACGGGAAACUGUGGAGAUUGAAAAACCCAGCAGCGUUGCAGUUCUUGACACAAACCGGUGCGCCUGGCACCUACUACCAUACCCCGUUCAAAAGGCACUUAAAACCACACACACACAAUCCAUGUCUCAACUGUCUAAAAGCUUAAAAAUCCUCCUUUAACUCGUCUCCUCACUUUCAUCUACACUGAUUUGAAGUGGAUUUAACAGGUGAAACAUCAAUAAGGGAUCAUAGCUUUCACCUGGAUUCACCUGAUCAGUCUGUCAUGGAAAGAGAACAGGUGUUCUUAAUGUUUUGUCAACUCAGUCUGUACUCUUCUUUCUCACCUUGUUUGUUUCAAAACGUCACUAUAUAUAGAAUCAUGAUGAGUCUGUCUGUUUGAGGACGAGUCCUGAUCGAUGCAGCAGGACAUGAUGUACCAAAUCUAAUGUCGUAGAUGGUAAAUGAACCAUUCAGAGUGAAAAACGCUCAAUGGUUAAAAAAAAAAAAAAGUUAUUUAAACUUUGAUUUCUACCUUUUUUUUUUGUUGUUAUUUAUCAUAACAUGGAGUUACAAGAGCUGUCAAUUUGCAGGUUUCCACUUUUACCUGUCCUCUCUUCACCUGGGAAUAAUCUGUUACCUUCAGGCACACUACUGAGCCAACACAUAGACACACUGCAGCUCUUCUACAACCACCUCUGGCUGAGAUGCAAAACAAUAAAGAUUCUCCAAUGGUCCUGGUAUUAGAUAGACAGCCACAGGAGUCUGGUUCAUCCUGAACAACGACUUUGGAGACUCUUAAUACCUAGCUGGCAUUUCCCCAAGGGUUCAGUCUGUAAACCUCUCCCCUGAACUUAACAAUGGCUCUGCAUGCCAUUGUAGAGAGACUGUGAUUUUUUUUACUAGGUGUGUGACUGUGUAUUGGGCAAUAGGAUUAAAGAGUUUAUGUUAUUUUAUUUUCCAGACCCUGAAACAGUGGUCGCUGUUCUUCUGUAAUAUAUUCACUCUGAUAAGAGCUUUGUGUAUUCUGCACUAACUGUCUGUACAGUCAAAAUAAAGCCUUGUUUACUAAUA